Molecule: ribosomal RNA, 254 nt
Filed under: uncultured prokaryote
Description: partial 16S ribosomal RNA
Rfam family: Bacterial small subunit ribosomal RNA
Source: RNAcentral
UACGGGGGGAGCAAGCGUUGUUCGGAUUUACUGGGCGUAAAGGGCGCGUAGGCGGUCAGCACAAGUCAGUUGUGAAAUCUCCGGGCUUAACUCGGAAAGGUCAACUGAUACUGUGCGGCUAGAGUGCAGAAGGGGCAACUGGAAUUCUCGGUGUAGCGGUGAAAUGCGUAGAUAUCGAGAGGAACACCUGUGGUGUAGACAGCUUACUGGACCACUUCUGACGCUGAGACACGAAAGCGUGGGUAGCAAACAGG